AAUUGCCCUCCCUGGCCUGCGGCCGCCCGGUCCUCCUUCCCAGCCCAGUGGAGCCAGGCACCCGGCUUCGGCUUGCUCAGGUCUCUGUCCGGGACUGGGAAGCCACGGAGGGCCUGGAAAGUGGCACACUCCUGGAGCUCAAGCUUCCUACUCUCUCAUCGCUGAAUAACUACCGGGCAGGACUGGGUGGAACAGACAACAUAUUUAGUUAAAAAUUCAGAUUGAACUAUCUUACAAAUGGCUCCCAGAAGAUCCACUCCCUGUGGGAGCACAGCAGUUGUGGAGGUGAAGACAGGACUGGACCCAGAAUAAGAGUUCAAAUAUGUGGGGAAAUCUGACCUCUAAAUUCUUAUAAGUCAGAGAGUGACUGAACAACAGCAGUGAGACAUUGAAGAGUUUUAAAUCUGCGGUAAACCUUGGCACAGAUCACUUACUUCUCUAAGACUGAAUCCAAAAAGCACAAUGGAAUACUAUAAUAAGCUGAGACAGCAUGGUGAAUUCCAGACAAGCCUGAGCAUUCCCUAUAGCCAGAGAAGGAGGCCCAACACCUAACAGCCU
This 558-nucleotide small RNA is filed under the name Pan troglodytes (chimpanzee). Its description in RNAcentral is "processed transcript". Lineage: Eukaryota; Metazoa; Chordata; Mammalia; Primates; Hominidae. The record is from RNAcentral.